AGAGUUUGAUCAUGGCUCAGAACGAACGUUGGCGGCGUGGAUUAGGCAUGCAAGUCGAACGAAUCCCCGUUGGGUAACUGACGGGGGGAAGUGGCGAAAGGGGCAGUAAGGCGUGGGUAACCUACCCCGGGGACCGGGAUAGCCACCCUAACGGGUGGGUAAUACCGGGCGAUCUGGCGAGGAGGCAUCUCCUUGUCAGGAAAUGAAUCUCGCCUCGGGAGGGGCUCACGUAGUAUUAGCUUGUUGGUGGGGUAACGGCCCACCAAGGCCAAGAUGCUUAGCGGGUGUGAGAGCACGACCCGCGCCACUGGCACUGAGACACUGGCCAGACUCCUACGGGAGGCUGCAGUCGAGGAUCUUCGGCAAUGGGCGCAAGCCUGACCGAGCGACGCCGCGUGUGCGAUGAAGGCCUUCGGGUUGUAAAGCACUGUCGAGGGGGAGGAAAGCCCGCAAGGGUCUGACCUAUCCCUGGAGGAAGCACGGGCUAAGUUCGUGCCAGCCGCCGCGGUAAUUC
RNAcentral lists this ribosomal RNA (514 nucleotides) under uncultured bacterium. RNAcentral describes it as "bacterial SSU rRNA". It matches the Rfam family "Bacterial small subunit ribosomal RNA", at positions 8 to 526 of the family's 1533-position model. The record is from RNAcentral.